UGUCCAAUUGAAACAAAGCGUUGCGAUGGCCAAAAAGUGGUGUUGACGCAAUGUGAUUUCUACCCAGUGCGCUGAAUGUCAAAACGAAGGGAUUCGACCAAGCGCGGGUAAACGGCGGUAGUAACUGUAGGUAAUGAAUGAAGAGGC
This 147-nucleotide non-coding RNA is filed under the name Pyrenochaeta sp. DS3sAY3a. RNAcentral describes it as "Eukaryotic large subunit ribosomal RNA". It matches the Rfam family "Eukaryotic large subunit ribosomal RNA", at positions 2139 to 2269 of the family's 3401-position model. The record is from Rfam by way of RNAcentral. Lineage: Eukaryota; Fungi; Ascomycota; Dothideomycetes; Pleosporales; Cucurbitariaceae.